This is a non-coding RNA of Phrynosoma platyrhinos (Desert horned lizard), 72 nucleotides long. The record is from the annotation of a GenBank genome assembly. NCBI's taxonomy places the organism in Eukaryota, Metazoa, Chordata, Lepidosauria, Squamata, Phrynosomatidae.
ACCAACAUAGCACAGUGGUUUGAGUGGUGGACUAAGACUCCAGAAGACCAGGGUUCGAAUCCCCACUUGGUC